GACGAACGCUGGCGGCGUGCUUAACACAUGCAAGUCGAACGGAAAGGCCUGCUUUCCCUUGUGGAUUGCGGGUGCUCGAGUGGCGAACGGGUGAGUAACACGUGAGUGAUCUGCCCCCAACUUGGGUAUAAGCCUGGGAAACUGGGUCUAAUUCCCGAUAGGACUGCAGGGUGGUGCCUGUGGUGGAAAACGAUUUUCUAGUGGUUGGGGAUGAGCUGCCGGCCUAUCAGCUUGUUGGUGGGGGAAUGGCCUACCAAGGCGGCGACGGGUAGCCGGACGGGGAGCGGGCACGGCGAAAUUGGGACAGGGUGCCGGCCCAGACUGCUACGGGAGGCAGCAGAUGGGCAGAAUGCACAGUGAGCGGAAGCCUGAUGCAGCGACGCAGCGUGGGGGAUGACGGCCUUCGGGUUGUAAACUCCUUUCGACCGCGAGGAAGCCACCUGGUUGGAAGGGUGGUGACGGUAGUGGUAGAAGAAGCACCGGCUAACUACGUG
RNAcentral lists this ribosomal RNA (494 nucleotides) under uncultured bacterium. Its description in RNAcentral is "partial 16S ribosomal RNA". It matches the Rfam family "Bacterial small subunit ribosomal RNA", at positions 28 to 507 of the family's 1533-position model. The record is from RNAcentral.